This 496-nucleotide ribosomal RNA is filed under the name uncultured bacterium. RNAcentral's name for it is "partial 16S ribosomal RNA". It matches the Rfam family "Bacterial small subunit ribosomal RNA", at positions 28 to 507 of the family's 1533-position model. The record is from RNAcentral.
GACGAACGCUGGCGGCGUGCCUAAUACAUGCAAGUAGAACGCUGAAGAGAGGAGCUUGCUCUUCUUGGAUGAGUUGCGAACGGGUGAGUAACGCGUAGGUAACCUGCCUUGUAGCGGGGGAUAACUAUUGGAAACGAUAGCUAAUACCGCAUAACAAUGGAUGACACAUGUCAUUUAUUUGAAAGGGGCAAUUGCUCCACUACAAGAUGGACCUGCGUUGUAUUAGCUAGUAGGUGAGGUAAUGGCUCACCUAGGCGACGAUACAUAGCCGACCUGAGAGGGUGAUCGGCCACACUGGGACUGAAACACGGCCCAGACUCCUACGGGAGGAGGCAGUAGGGAAUCUUCGGCAAUGGGGGCAACCCUGACCGGGCAACGCCGCGUAGGUGAGGAAGGUUUUCGGAUCGUAAAGCUCUGUUGUAGGUCAGGAACGGUUGGGGGGGUGGAAGGUUCACACGGUAAGGGUGGCUAACAAAAAAGGAACGCUAACUACGUG